GGGCCUGUAGCUCAGUUGGGAGAGCGUUCGGUUCGCAUCCGAGAGGUCAAGGGUUCGAAUCCCUCCAGGUCCA
Non-coding RNA from Clostridiales bacterium 59_14, 73 nucleotides. Lineage: Bacteria; Bacillati; Bacillota; Clostridia; Eubacteriales. The record is from Rfam.